AAUCUAUGCAUCGGACAUUUUCGAAUUAAAUCUUUAAAUUUUUCGCAAGCCUCAUAUAGCAUUUCCUCUUCUAAUUGUUGAAAAGAUGUGAUGUCAUUUAUAAGCU
Molecule: small nucleolar RNA, 106 nt
Filed under: Gossypium hirsutum (cotton)
Lineage: Eukaryota; Viridiplantae; Streptophyta; Magnoliopsida; Malvales; Malvaceae
Also listed under: 1 other name
Description: Plant small nucleolar RNA R71
Rfam family: Plant small nucleolar RNA R71
About the family: R71 is a member of the C/D box family of snoRNAs containing the C (UGAUGA) and D (CUGA) box motifs. Multiple nearly identical copies of this snoRNA have been identified in Arabidopsis, and it is thought to function as a 2'-O-ribose methylation guide for 18S ribosomal RNA.
Source: Rfam by way of RNAcentral